CUGUAGGGAGAGACGCAGGAUACCCCUGCAGGCAGAGUCCGGGAGGAUCGGUGACCUACUGGCUAGAAGAGUCCCUGCCUAACAUCCAUGUUCGCAAUAAGCACCGCAGUCAGCACUGUAAUGCACGGAUGACCGCACACAUCUGUAACCUUGCCCACAAAUAUGUACCUAUGACAGAGAGAGUCGGAGUGGACGGAGCUAGGGAGGAGAGUCACAUGGCCGGAAAGAACAUAGGAGCUCUGCUGGGCACUGUGCUUCUGCUCCCAGUCUGAGAACAUAUUUCUGGUAGAUGGACAUGGGACCUGUCUCAGAUCCAGAUGUUGGGUGCAAAUCGUGAAGAUGGGAGUGAGAAGGGGUGAUCAGGCAGGUGAUGAGAGCAUCCUACAUACAGUUGACCAUGGGAGAAGCAGUCCUGUUGAAGUUGAAGCCCAAUAACUUUAAGUGUUUGUCCCUGGGUUUUAUUGAGCGACAUGGCAAAACUUACUUUUUCUAGAUAUUGCAAGCAUUUAAUUUAAAACGGUAUCUCAGAUGUUAUUAGUGGUAUUCCAGGAAUAAAGUUGUCUUCUCCUUUGCCACAACCAAUUAUACUUUUGUAUGACAUACUUAGAGAUUUUGGGGUCUAUUUACUAAGCAUUGGAUGGAGAUAAAGUCGACGGUGAUAAAGUAGUACCAGCCAAUCAGCUCCUAACUGCUAUGUCACAGGCUGGGUUUGAAAAAUGACAGUUAGGGGCUGGUUGGCUGGUACUUUAUCUCUGUCCACUUUAUCUCCAUCCAAUGCUUAGUAAAUAGAACCCUUUAUUUUAAAAUUAUAGUUUAACUUAAAAAAUGCAAUUGUCGCAAUAUUUGUUGCUUUGUUAUGUUGACCCUACUGUAUGUCGUGUUGUUGAGAGGUUUCCUUCCAUCAGUCAAACAACUGUUUUCAACCAAAAAAAAAUUUUUUCAAAUAUUUAUCACUCUGUCACUUUGUCUCUAUGUGGUCUAAUAGCUUAAUUUGUCAAUACUAAAUUACUGUAUAAAAUUUGGUAGCUUCACCAUGAAAGCCGUGGAAGAUAUUUAUGUACAACAUAAAAACAU
Molecule: long non-coding RNA, 1074 nt
Organism: Pseudophryne corroboree (corroboree frog)
Lineage: Eukaryota; Metazoa; Chordata; Amphibia; Anura; Myobatrachidae
Exons: 3
Source: RefSeq, a predicted model, not a curated record